UACGUAGGUUGCAAGCGUUGUCCGGAUUUAUUGGGCUUAAAGGGUGCGUAGGCGGCUUUGUAAGUCAGUGGUGAAAUAUGGCAGCUCAACUGUCAGGGUGCCAUUGAUACUGCGGAGCUUGAGUACAGAUGAGGUAGGCGGAAUUGACGGUGUAGCGGUGAAAUGCUUAGAUAUCGUCAAGAACACCGAUAGCGAAGGCAGCUUACUAGGCUGUAACUGACGCUGAGGCACGAAAGUGUGGGGAUCAAGCAGG
Molecule: ribosomal RNA, 253 nt
Filed under: uncultured bacterium
Lineage: Bacteria
Description: partial 16S ribosomal RNA
Rfam family: Bacterial small subunit ribosomal RNA
Source: RNAcentral